RNAcentral lists this ribosomal RNA (370 nucleotides) under uncultured organism. Its description in RNAcentral is "partial 16S ribosomal RNA". It matches the Rfam family "Bacterial small subunit ribosomal RNA", at positions 527 to 896 of the family's 1533-position model. The record is from RNAcentral.
GGAGGAUGCAAGCGUUAUCCGGAUUCAUUGGGUUUAAAGGGUGCGUAGGCGGCUUUUUAAGUCAGUGGUGAAAUCCUGCGGCUCGACCGUAGAACUGCCAUUGAAACUGAAGAGCUUGAGUACACUGGAGGUAAGCGGAAUGUGUAGUGUAGCGGUGAAAUGCUUAGAUAUUACACAGAACACCGAUUGCGAAGGCAGCUUACCAUAGUGUAACUGACGCUGAUGCACGAAAGCGUGGGGGGAGCGAACAGGAUUAGAUACCCUGGUAGUCCACGCCCGUAAACCGAUGAUAACUCGCUGUUGGCGAUACACCGCCAGUGGCUUAGCGAAAGCAUUAAGUUAUCCACCUGGGAGUACGGUCGCAAGAUUG